This is a long non-coding RNA of Oncorhynchus kisutch (coho salmon), 745 nucleotides long. RefSeq lists it as uncharacterized. The record is from RefSeq and is a predicted model, not a curated record. NCBI's taxonomy places the organism in Eukaryota, Metazoa, Chordata, Actinopteri, Salmoniformes, Salmonidae. The transcript has 3 exons.
UUGCAGGUACAGCUGGGGCAGGGGCUGGAGCACACAGCCUCGUGCAUUCCUGACGUCACCAGGCAUAUGUUACAUACUGUGAAGAGACCAGAAUUGUCAGCAGUUGAGUGGAAGAAGCUGAAGCACUAUAGCAUUUCCUAGUUGCCACUGGUGUUUACUGGCAAACGGACGUCAUUUGCAUUGGAACUUCAAACACGGAGUGUUCUAAUUUAGUGCCUAGGCUACGUUAUAAAAACGACUUCUGUGGCCGAGAGCUCUUUUUGGAGGGAACAUGGCUUCAAAUGGGAUAGAAAGUAUGCAGUUAGGGGAGGAUCAGAUCAAAAUUCUGGAGGAGAAUUUCAACAGAGUCAGCAAGCAUCCGGAUGAGUCGACACUCAUGUUAAUCGCAGCUGAAAGCGGACUAACCGAGGAAGAGACAGCGAAAUGGUUCAGGCUACGCAAUGCACGAUGGAGACAGGCGGAGGGCCUUCCAGCUCAACUGGGAUCAGUGAAAGACUGAAAUUGGAGUGGUGAAGGAAACCUCCCCCUCACCCCGUUGCUUCUGACUGAUUUGCCACGCCCUUACUGACCAACUCCCAGGACACAGCAACCACUCAUACCUUCCUUCCAUCAUUCUCUCUCCUUUGUAUCUAAGCUAUUUUCAUUUAGUGAAUGUGUGAAGUGUAAUGCGAGUCAAUGUUUUUUUGCCAAUAUAAUUGGCAUGUUUACAUAUAAUAAUAAAUAAACAAACAUAUAUUAUAAAUGA